AUUGAACGCUGGCGGAAUGCUUUACACAUGCAAGUCGAACGGCAGCACGGGGGCAGCCCUGGUGGCGAGUGGCGAACGGGUGAGUAAUACAUCGGAACGUGCCCGGUCGUGGGGGAUAACGUAGCGAAAGUUACGCUAAUACCGCAUACGAUCUGAGGAUGAAAGCGGGGGACCUUCGGGCCUCGCGCGAUCGGAGCGGCCGAUGUCAGAUUAGGUAGUUGGUGGGGUAAAGGCCUACCAAGCCGACGAUCUGUAGCUGGUCUGAGAGGACGACCAGCCAAACUGGGACUGAGACACGGCCCAGACUCCUACGGGGGGCAGAAGUGGGGAAUUUUGGACAAUGGGCGCAAGCCUGAUCAAGCCAUUCCGCGUGCAGGACGAAGGCCUUCGGGUUGUAAACUGCUUUUGUACGGAACGAAAAGGCUCUGGCUAAUACCUGGGGCACAUGACGGUACCGUAAGAAUAAGCACCGGCUAACUACGUG
This 484-nucleotide ribosomal RNA is filed under the name uncultured bacterium. Its description in RNAcentral is "partial 16S ribosomal RNA". It matches the Rfam family "Bacterial small subunit ribosomal RNA", at positions 29 to 507 of the family's 1533-position model. The record is from RNAcentral.